CCUACGGGGGGCAGCAGUAGGGAAUAUUGCUCAAUGGGGGAAACCCUGAAGCAGCAACGCCGCGUGGAGGAUGAAGGUUUUCGGAUUGUAAACUCCUUUUGUUAGAGAAGAUAAUGACGGUAUCUAACGAAUAAGCACCGGCUAACUCCGUGCCAGCAGCCGCGGUAAUACGGGGGGGGCAAGCGUUACUCGGAAUCACUGGGCGUAAAGAGCGCGUAGGCGGGAUAGCAAGGCAGAUGUGAAAUCCUAGGGCUUAACCAUAGAACUGCCUUUGAAACUGUGAGUCUAGAGUAUGGGAGAGGUAGGUGGAAUUCUUGGUGUAGGGGUAAAAUCCGUAGAGAUCAAGAGGAAUACUCAUUGCGAAGGCGACCUGCUAGAACAUAACUGACGCUGAUGCGCGAAAGCGUGGGGAGCAAACAGGAUUAGAUACCCGGGUAGUC
Molecule: ribosomal RNA, 440 nt
Filed under: uncultured bacterium
Lineage: Bacteria
Description: partial 16S ribosomal RNA
Rfam family: Bacterial small subunit ribosomal RNA
Source: RNAcentral